RNAcentral lists this ribosomal RNA (513 nucleotides) under uncultured microorganism. RNAcentral describes it as "bacterial SSU rRNA". It matches the Rfam family "Bacterial small subunit ribosomal RNA", at positions 9 to 504 of the family's 1533-position model. The record is from RNAcentral.
GAGUUUGAUCGUGGCUCAGGAUGAACGCUGGCGGCGUGCCUAAUACAUGCAAGUCAAGCGAACGGACGAGAAGCUUGCUUCUCUGAUGUUAGCGGCGGACGGGUGAGUAACACGUGGAUAACCUACCUAUAAGACUGGGAUAACUUCGGGAAACCGGAGCUAAUACCGGAUGAUAUUUUGAACCGCAUGGUUCAAAAGUGAAAGACGGUCUUGCUGUCACUUAUAGAUGGAUCCGCGCUGCAUUAGCUAGUUGGUAAGGUAACGGCUUACCAAGGCAACGAUGCAUAGCCGACCUGAGAGGGUGAUCGGCCACACUGGAACUGAGACACGGUCCAGACUCCUACGGGAGGCAGCAGUAGGGAAUCUUCCGCAAUGGGCGAAAGCCUGACGGAGCAACGCCGCGUGAGUGAUGAAGGUCUUCGGAUCGUAAAACUCUGUUAUUAGGGAAGAACAUAUGUGUAAGUAACUGUGCACAUCUUGACGGUACCUAAUCAGAAAGCCACGGCUAACUAC